CAGUAGCCGCGGUAAAACGGAGGGUGCAAGCGUUAAUCGGAAUUACUGGGCGUAAAGCGCACGCAGGCGGUUUGUUAAGUCAGAUGUGAAAUCCCCGAGCUAAACUUGGGAACUGCAUUUGAAACUGGCAAGCUAGAGUCUUGUAGAGGGGGGUAGAAUUCCAGGUGUAGCGGUGAAAUGCGUAGAGAUCUGGAGGAAUACCGGUGGCGAAGGCGGCCCCCUGGACAAAGACUGACGCUCAGGUGCGAAAGCGUGGGGAGCAAACAGGAUUAGAUACCCGCGUAGUCCCUGUCUCUUAUAC
Molecule: ribosomal RNA, 301 nt
Filed under: uncultured bacterium
Lineage: Bacteria
Description: partial 16S ribosomal RNA
Rfam family: Bacterial small subunit ribosomal RNA
Source: RNAcentral